CCUUUGACGUUAGCGGCGGACGGGUGAGUAACACGUGGGUAACCUACCUAUAAGACUGGGAUAACUUAGGGAAACCGGAGCUAAUACCGGAUAAUAUUUCGAACCGCAUGGUUCGAUAGUGAAAGGUGGUUUUGCUAUCACUUAUAGAUGGACCCGCGCCGUAUUAGCUAGUUGGUAAGGUAACGGCUUACCAAGGCGACGAUACGUAGCCGACCUGAGAGGGUGAUCGGCCACACUGGAACUGAGACACGGUCCAGACUCCUACGGGAGGCAGCAGUG
Molecule: ribosomal RNA, 279 nt
Filed under: uncultured Staphylococcus sp.
Lineage: Bacteria; Bacillati; Bacillota; Bacilli; Caryophanales; Staphylococcaceae
Description: partial 16S ribosomal RNA
Rfam family: Bacterial small subunit ribosomal RNA
Source: RNAcentral